Molecule: ribosomal RNA, 267 nt
Filed under: uncultured bacterium
Lineage: Bacteria
Description: partial 16S ribosomal RNA
Rfam family: Bacterial small subunit ribosomal RNA
Source: RNAcentral
UGCCAGCCGCCGCGGUAAUACGGAGGGUGCAAGCGUUGUUCGGAAUUAUUGGGCGUAAAGCGCGUGUAGGCGGAUGAAUUAGUCAGAGGUGAAAGCCCCGAGCUCAACUUGGAAACUGGCGAACUUGAGUACGGGAGAGGAAAGUGGAAUUCCGAGUGUAGGGGUGAAAUCCGUAGUUAUUCGGAGGAACACCAGUGGCGAAGGCGGCUUUCUGGACCGAUACUGACGCUGAGAUGCGAAAGCUAGGGUAGCGAACCGGAUUAGAUA